This 524-nucleotide ribosomal RNA is filed under the name uncultured bacterium. RNAcentral's name for it is "partial 16S ribosomal RNA". It matches the Rfam family "Bacterial small subunit ribosomal RNA", at positions 33 to 541 of the family's 1533-position model. The record is from RNAcentral.
AUUGAACGCUGGCGGCAGGCCUAACACAUGCAAGUCGAGCGGAUGAAGGGAGCUUGCUCCUGGAUUCAGCGGCGGACGGGUGAGUAAUGCCUAGGAAUCUGCCUGGUAGUGGGGGAUAACGUCCGGAAACGGGCGCUAAUACCGCAUACGUCCUGAGGGAGAAAGUGGGGGAUCUUCGGACCUCACGCUAUCAGAUGAGCCUAGGUCGGAUUAGCUAGUUGGUGGGGUAAAGGCCUACCAAGGCGACGAUCCGUAACUGGUCUGAGAGGAUGAUCAGUCAAGCUGGAGGUGAGAACGCGACGAUACGCCGGCGGGAGGCAGAAGGGGAGAAUGUCGGAGAAGGAGGGACAGCUGGAUCCAGCCAGGCUGAGGGUGUGAAGAUGGUCUUCGAAUUGUAAAGCUGUGUGAGUGGGGAGGAAGGGAAUUUAGGUAAUACGGUUGUGUUUUCCCGAGACGAAAAGAAUAAGCACCGGAUAACUUCGUGCGAGCAGCCGAGGAAUAAGGGGAAGAGCAGACUUCUGACC